This 69-nucleotide transfer RNA is filed under the name Myotis davidii. It matches the Rfam family "tRNA". From Rfam's summary of the family: Transfer RNA (tRNA) molecules are approximately 80 nucleotides in length. Their secondary structure includes four short double-helical elements and three loops (D, anti-codon, and T loops). Lineage: Eukaryota; Metazoa; Chordata; Mammalia; Chiroptera; Vespertilionidae. The record is from Rfam by way of RNAcentral.
GUUGGUUUGACUCAGUGGUAGAGUAUCGGCCUGCGGACCGAAGGGUCUUGGGUUUGAUUCCAGUCAACG